AUAGGUUAAGUUAAUAAGGGCGCAUGGUGGAUGCCUUGGCACUAGAAGGCGAUGAAGGACGUGACUAACUACGAUAUGCCUCGGUUAGCUGUAAGUAAGCUUACCCGGGGGUUUCCGAAUGGGGCAACCCGAUCUUAAUGAUCAUCAUCUUUUUGAAUUCAUAGAUUAGAUGAAGCAAACGCUGUGAACUGAAACAUCUCAGUAGCAGUAGGAAAGUAAAGAAAUUUCGAUUCCGUCAGUAGCGGCGAGCGAACGCGGAAGAGCCCAAACCUGGAUGCUUGCAUCCAGGGGUUGUAGGACUGAUGUUGAGUUACAAAGGUAUAAGAUAGCAGAAACAGUUGGGAAGCUGUUCCAAAGAGGGUGACAGGCCCGUAUGCGAAAUCUUGUACUCUCUAAUCAGGAUCCUGAGUACGGC
This 415-nucleotide ribosomal RNA is filed under the name Oenococcus oeni. RNAcentral describes it as "bacterial LSU rRNA". It matches the Rfam family "Bacterial large subunit ribosomal RNA", at positions 1 to 418 of the family's 2925-position model. The record is from RNAcentral. Lineage: Bacteria; Bacillati; Bacillota; Bacilli; Lactobacillales; Lactobacillaceae.